AGUGGCAGACGGGUGAGUAACACGUGGGAAUCUACCCAGUAGCCUGGAAUAACCGCGGGAAACUGCGGCUAAUACCGGAUACGCCCCUCGGGGGAAAGGAGCAAUCCACUAUUGGAGGAGCCCGCGUCCGAUUAGCUAGUUGGUGAGGUAACGGCUCACCAAGGCGAUGAUCGGUAGCUGGUUUGAGAGAACGACCAGCCACACUGGGACUGAGACACGGCCCAGACUCCUACGGGAGGCAGCAGUGGGGAAUAUUGGACAAUGGGGGAAACCCUGAUCCAGCAAUGCCGCGUGGGUGAUGAAGGCCUUCGGGUUGUAAAGCCCUUUUGGCGGGGACGAUGAUGACGGUACCCGCAGAAGAAGCCCCGGCUAACUUCGUGCCAGCAGCCGCGGUAAUACGAAGGGGGCUAGCGUUG
RNAcentral lists this ribosomal RNA (416 nucleotides) under uncultured bacterium. Its description in RNAcentral is "bacterial SSU rRNA". It matches the Rfam family "Bacterial small subunit ribosomal RNA", at positions 94 to 543 of the family's 1533-position model. The record is from RNAcentral.